GCCCAAUUUCGCACGUGCCUGUGGUCGCGUGCCAGUCGGUGGGCAUCCGGACAAGAGGCCGGACAGCCGCCCGAAGCGCCAGCGCUUCGAACACUUGACUGGCAGCCGGAGGCGAAACCGGCGCACUCCGCUCUCCGCGGGGGACGCGGCUUAAAGCAACGACGGAACGGGCUUUU
This 176-nucleotide small RNA is filed under the name Chelatococcus caeni. RNAcentral describes it as "sRNA ar45". It matches the Rfam family "Alphaproteobacterial sRNA ar45". The record is from RNAcentral. Lineage: Bacteria; Pseudomonadati; Pseudomonadota; Alphaproteobacteria; Hyphomicrobiales; Chelatococcaceae.